CCUACGGGAGGCAGCAGUGGGGAAUAUUGCACAAUGGGGGAAACCCUGAUGCAGCGACGCCGCGUGAAGGAAGAAGUAUUUCGGUAUGUAAACUUCUAUCAGCAGGGAAGAAAAUGACGGUACCUGACUAAGAAGCCCCGGCUAAAUACGUGCCAGCAGCCGCGGUACUACGGAGGGGGCAAGCGUUAUCCGGAUUUACUGGGUGUAAAGGGAGCGUAGGCGGUUUAGCAAGUCAGAAGUGAAAGGCCGGGGCUCAACUCCGGGACUGCUUUUGAAACUGGUGAACUAGAUUGCAGGAGAGGUAAGUGGAAUUCCUAGUGUAGCGGUGAAAUGCGUAGAUAUUAGGAGGAACACCAGUGGCGAAGGCGGCUUACUGGACUGUAAAUGACGCUGAGGCUCGAAAGCGUGGGGAGCAAACAGGAUUAGAUACCCGUGUAGUC
RNAcentral lists this ribosomal RNA (440 nucleotides) under uncultured bacterium. RNAcentral's name for it is "partial 16S ribosomal RNA". It matches the Rfam family "Bacterial small subunit ribosomal RNA", at positions 338 to 795 of the family's 1533-position model. The record is from RNAcentral.